RNAcentral lists this transfer RNA (56 nucleotides) under Amegilla calceifera. Its description in RNAcentral is "tRNA-Ser". Lineage: Eukaryota; Metazoa; Arthropoda; Insecta; Hymenoptera; Apidae. The record is from RNAcentral.
GGGGUAUAUUAAAUAGAACUUCUAAUUCUAUAAAGAUACAAUAGUAUCAUACCCCU